Molecule: ribosomal RNA, 253 nt
Filed under: uncultured bacterium
Lineage: Bacteria
Description: partial 16S ribosomal RNA
Rfam family: Bacterial small subunit ribosomal RNA
Source: RNAcentral
UACGAAGGGGGCUAGCGUUGCUCGGAAUCACUGGGCUUAAAGGGCGCGUAGGCGGGCUGACAAGUCUGGGGUGAAAUGCCGCGGCUCAACCGUGGAACUGCCUUAGAUACUGUCGGCCUCGAGGAAGGUAGGGGCAUGCGGAACUGUAGGUGGAGCGGUGAAAUGCGUUGAUAUCUACAGGAACUCCGGUGGCGAAAGCGGCGUGCUGGACCUUUUCUGACGCUGAGGCGCGAAAGCUAGGGGAGCAAACGGG